This 497-nucleotide ribosomal RNA is filed under the name uncultured bacterium. RNAcentral describes it as "partial 16S ribosomal RNA". It matches the Rfam family "Bacterial small subunit ribosomal RNA", at positions 28 to 507 of the family's 1533-position model. The record is from RNAcentral.
GAUGAACGUUGGAGGAGGGAAGAAGAAAGGAAAGUCGAGGGAACAGACGAGGAGCUUGGUGAGCUGAAGUUAGCGGCGGACGGGUGAGGAACACGUGGAUAACCGACCUAUAAGACUGGGAUAACUUCGGGAAACCGGAGCUAAUACCGGAUAAUAUAUUGAACCGCAUGGUUCAAUAGUGAAAGACGGUUUUGCUGUCACUUAUAGAUGGAUCCGCGCCGCAUUAGCUAGUUGGUAAGGUAACGGCUGACCAAGGCAACGAUGCGUAGCCGACCUGAGAGGGUGCUCGGCCACACUGGAACUGAGACACGGUCCAGACUCCUCCGGGAGGCAGCAGUAGGGAAUCUUCCGCAAUGGGCGAAAGCCUGACGGAGCAACGCCGCGUGAGUGAUGAAGGUCUUCGGAUCGUAACCCUCUGUUAUUAGGGAAGAACAAAUGUGUAAGUCACUCUGCACGUCUUGACGGUACCUAAUCAGAAAGCCCCGGCUCCCUACGUG